This 61-nucleotide ribosomal RNA is filed under the name Drosophila guanche. The record is from RNAcentral. Lineage: Eukaryota; Metazoa; Arthropoda; Insecta; Diptera; Drosophilidae.
GCCAACGACCAUACUACGCUGAAUACAUCGGUUCUCGUCCGAUCACCGAAAUUAAGCAGCG